RNAcentral lists this transfer RNA (67 nucleotides) under Rattus norvegicus (Norway rat). It matches the Rfam family "tRNA", at positions 5 to 66 of the family's 71-position model. From Rfam's summary of the family: Transfer RNA (tRNA) molecules are approximately 80 nucleotides in length. Their secondary structure includes four short double-helical elements and three loops (D, anti-codon, and T loops). Further hydrogen bonds mediate the characteristic L-shaped molecular structure. tRNAs have two regions of fundamental functional importance: the anti-codon, which is responsible for specific mRNA codon recognition, and the 3' end, to which the tRNAs corresponding amino acid is attached (by aminoacyl-tRNA synthetases). tRNAs cope with the degeneracy of the genetic code in two manners: having more than one tRNA (with a specific anti-codon) for a particular amino acid; and 'wobble' base-pairing, i.e. permitting non-standard base-pairing at the 3rd anti-codon position. Lineage: Eukaryota; Metazoa; Chordata; Mammalia; Rodentia; Muridae. The record is from Rfam by way of RNAcentral.
AUGUGGCUCAAUGGUAGAGCACUUGCCUAGCAUGCAGGAGUCCCUGGGUUCAACACCCCCCCAUCAU